AAGUUUUAUGCUGCAGAAAUGCUGCAAGAGAAGUUUGCCACAAAGGACGCCAGUCAGGGCAGGAAGAGGGCUGGCACUACCAGAAAUAUGCUUUUAUAUGAUGUGACAGACAACACUCCUGCUUUUAUUAAGCAAUUAAUAAAAGACCACGGCAACACAAUUGCUGAAGUACCUCGGGUUUGUUGGAGAUAAGGAGCCAUUCACCUCCACCCAGUUCAAAAACUUUGUUGACGAACUGCGACAGAGAGGUGUGGGGGUGAGUGGCCUUAUCACCAAUGUCGAAUGCAUUGCAAAGUCUCUAGUAGACUCGAAGGAGAAGGAUCUCGAGGACUUCAUCACGGAACUAAAGCAGUUCCUCAUGGAACAAAGGGUUAUUAAAAAGACGAACCUUAAGAAGGAGAAAAGACUCCUCUGCCCUCAGAGUCAGGCAAUAGAGAAGUUCCUCUCGUCACAAGAUGUCACAAAAGU
Amphimedon queenslandica is the source of this 468-nucleotide long non-coding RNA. RefSeq lists it as uncharacterized. NCBI's taxonomy places the organism in Eukaryota, Metazoa, Porifera, Demospongiae, Haplosclerida, Niphatidae. The record is from RefSeq and is a predicted model, not a curated record. The transcript has 3 exons.